UACGUAGGGACCAAGCGUUGUUCGGAUUUACUGGGCGUAAAGGGUGCGUAGGCGGCGCGGUAAGUCGGGUGUGAAAUCUCGGGGCUUAACUCCGAAACUGCAUUCGAUACUGCCGUGCUUGAGGACUGGAGAGGAGACUGGAAUUUACGGUGUAGCGGUGAAAUGCGUAGAUAUCGUAAGGAAGACCAGUGGCGAAGGCGGGUCUCUGGACAGUUCCUGACGCUGAGGCACGAAGGUCAGGGGAGCAAACGGC
Molecule: ribosomal RNA, 253 nt
Filed under: uncultured prokaryote
Description: partial 16S ribosomal RNA
Rfam family: Bacterial small subunit ribosomal RNA
Source: RNAcentral